UACGGGGGGAGCAAGCGUUGUUCGGAUUUACUGGGCGUAAAGGGCGCGUAGGCGGCCACUGCAAGUCAGUUGUGAAAUCUCCGGGCUUAACUCGGAAAGGUCAACUGAUACUGCAGGGCUAGAGUCCGGAAGAGGCGAGUGGAAUUCCUGGUGUAGCGGUGGAAUGCGCAGAUAUCAGGAGGAACACCAAUAGCGAAGGCAGCUCGCUGGGACGGUACUGACGCUAAGGCGCGAAAGCGUGGGGAGCGAACAGG
This 254-nucleotide ribosomal RNA is filed under the name uncultured prokaryote. RNAcentral describes it as "partial 16S ribosomal RNA". It matches the Rfam family "Bacterial small subunit ribosomal RNA", at positions 524 to 776 of the family's 1533-position model. The record is from RNAcentral.